This 2165-nucleotide long non-coding RNA is filed under the name Sus scrofa (pig). Its description in RNAcentral is "lncRNA (ENSSSCG00015025677.1)". Lineage: Eukaryota; Metazoa; Chordata; Mammalia; Artiodactyla; Suidae. The record is from RNAcentral.
ACGCAGUCCUGGUGAGAGGUGCAUGCGAAAGGUGGAAUAACCCAUCCUCAGUGAGUUCAGGACCGAGGGAUUCGGGAGAAAGAUCAGGCCCCAUGUGUGCGGCUGCGUGGGAAUCUUUGACCGCCCCAUCCCCCACCCACAGCAUUUGGAGGUCGGGGGGAGUCAGUGUCUCUGACACCCUAGGAAGAGCAUGGGCCGAGCCAGGGCAGCCGUCCAGGCUCUGCCCCUCCCCUCCCCCACGCCUCGAGCCAUCCCGCCCUUCCGCGCAGGUCCAGGCCCCUCCGUCCUCCUGCCUCUGACAUCCACUUGGCUUCCCAUCUCUUGGGGGAAAAAAAUACAUCAGAGCAAUAAGCUUCGUUUCCUCUUUUCUCUCACUAUCGCAUUUUCCCGACAAGUGCUCUGCACCUGCCUCCUGGCUCCACGCCUCGCCUCUUAAUCCCUCGCAGUCUAGCUGCUGGCCCCACCGCGACGCUGUAACUGCUUCUCUGAAAAUCGGCUUGUUUCCAAACACUGCUCUUCUGUCGGCUUGUCCUGCUGCCGGCCCUUCUGUCCGGGAAGCAGACCCCUGUGUGCACGUGCCCUCUUUGCAGCCUUCUGUGCUGUGAUUCCUCUCUUGGAUUUGCUCUUAUUUUUCCUUCCUUCCUUCUCCUCUUCUGACCCCCACCCCCUUCCCUCUUUUCUGGGGUGUUUUGUGAGGCCUGGUGUUUAGCUUCUCAGAGAACUUGCUUCAGGAACCCUCAGCACCUGCCCCCAAUUCUAGUCCUGGUCCUGGCUCCUUGGAUGCCCAAUGACACCCAGACUCAGCGUGUCCCCCCCUCACAGGCAGCUGCCCGCCCUUGUGUCCCAGCAGUGGGUCUCCCCUCUCCCUGCCCCUGCCCUCCAUGACCAGGCUACUGCUUUAGGUCUUGAAUGUCUCAGGCCUGAGUUCAGAGGCCCCUUUUCUGGGCUGAUGCCAGAAUCCCUUCCGUCCCCACAGUCUAUGCAGCAUGUCAUCUCUAGGUGGACGGACCCUGCUUUUACCCGAUCGCCGUUCCCCUCUGCUGGGAAGUCUUUGGAGGCUCCGCUUCCCCUCCCCUGCAGAGCCCAGCUCCUCUCCCUCCUGUAGCCUCAGCCGUUCUCAGAAGCCACUUCCCUGGGGACGCCCUGUCUCUCCCAUCUGCACAGGGCCCCUGUCCUGGUCUUCCCACUCCACUGCGCCCUGGGGACCACAGCUGACUGUCCCCAGAUGGCAGGUCCCUAUGUGUCCUGGAAGCCUCUUCCCUUCCUCCUGGGCCCUGGGGCUGGGUACCCUGCUGGCUGUCAGUAAAGGAAUUCCUCCCCCAAACCUCCAAGAAGACGUCCUGUCAUCCUUCAGAGUCUGGUUCAGAUCCCACCUCCCUCCAGGACUGUUCUAGUCGCCCGGAUUCCCACUGCCUGGUGCUCCUGCUGGGCUCGCAGCUGGAUUCAUUUACAGUCCGUCCACCCAACUUAAUACUUUUUUCUCUGCUAUUAGCCUCUGAUUGUAUCAAGGCUGAGAGAGACACUUUUCCAGCUCUUAAAUCACAGCAGCCUUUUAUUGGGUGGUUGGCAUGUGCCGGCCUGUGCUGCUCUUUGCAGCACCCCUCCUGUGCGUUAUCCUUGCCACCCCCAGGGGGCACGGUGCCAGGCUCCUUGGCUUCGUUCUGCCCGUGAGGAUAUGACCCCAGCGAGGUCCAAGGACCUGUCUACACCACACAGCUUGUAGGUGGGCAGCACAUAGCUUGGCACUCCAGUCUGUCUGACUUUGGAGGUUGUUUCCUGAUACUUGGAUUUGCUGUUUUUCCAGAAAAGCAUAAGCCUCAGUCCGCAGAGUGUGUUACAGGUCCUUUGGUACCUGGUCCUUUGGUAUGCAGGUGUACUGGUUGCUUGGAACUCCACUGGACUAAGAAAGGACUUUGUUGGGAGUUCCCAUCAUGGCACAGUGGAAACGAAUCUGAUUAGGAACCAUGAGGUUGCAGGUUCGAUCCCUGGCCUCGCCCAGUGGGUUAAGGAUCUGGCGUUAAUGUGAGCUGUGAUGUAGGUCACAGACCCGGCUCGGAUCUGGUAUGGCUGUGACGUAGGCUAGCAGCUGUAAUUCCAAUUUGACCACUAGCCUGGGAACCUCCAUAUGCCGUGGGUGCAGCCCUCAAAAGAAAAAAAAGAAAAAA